Molecule: ribosomal RNA, 486 nt
Filed under: uncultured bacterium
Lineage: Bacteria
Description: partial 16S ribosomal RNA
Rfam family: Bacterial small subunit ribosomal RNA
Source: RNAcentral
AUUGAACGCUGGCGGCAUGCCUUACACAUGCAAGUCGAACGGCAGCACGGGUGCUUGCACCUGGUGGCGAGUGGCGAACGGGUGAGUAAUACAUCGGAACAUGUCCUGUAGUGGGGGAUAGCCCGGCGAAAGCCGGAUUAAUACCGCAUACGAUCUACGGAUGAAAGCGGGGGACCUUCGGGCCUCGCGCGAUAGGGUUGGCCGAUGGCUGAUUAGCUAGUUGGUGGGGUAAAGGCCUACCAAGGCGACGAGCAGUAGCUGGUCUGAGAGGACGACCAGCCACACUGGGACUGAGCCACGGCCCAGACUCCUACGGGAGGCAGCAGUCGGGAAUUUUGGACAAUGGGCGAAAGCCUGAUCCAGCAAUGCCGCGUGUGUGAAGAAGGCCUUCGGGUUGUAAAGCACUUUUGUCCGGAAAGAAAUCCUUGGCUCUAAUACAGUCGGGGGAUGACGGUACCGGAAGAAUAAGCACCGGCUAACUACGUG